GCCUGACUAGCUCAGUCAGUAGAGCAUGGGACUCUCAAUCCCAGGGCCAUGGGUUCGAACCCCAUGUUGGGCA
This 73-nucleotide transfer RNA is filed under the name Cricetulus griseus (Chinese hamster). It matches the Rfam family "tRNA". Rfam says of the family: Transfer RNA (tRNA) molecules are approximately 80 nucleotides in length. Their secondary structure includes four short double-helical elements and three loops (D, anti-codon, and T loops). Further hydrogen bonds mediate the characteristic L-shaped molecular structure. tRNAs have two regions of fundamental functional importance: the anti-codon, which is responsible for specific mRNA codon recognition, and the 3' end, to which the tRNAs corresponding amino acid is attached (by aminoacyl-tRNA synthetases). tRNAs cope with the degeneracy of the genetic code in two manners: having more than one tRNA (with a specific anti-codon) for a particular amino acid; and 'wobble' base-pairing, i.e. permitting non-standard base-pairing at the 3rd anti-codon position. Lineage: Eukaryota; Metazoa; Chordata; Mammalia; Rodentia; Cricetidae. The record is from Rfam by way of RNAcentral.